This 525-nucleotide long non-coding RNA is filed under the name Rattus norvegicus (Norway rat). RNAcentral's name for it is "long non-coding RNA NONRATT015851". The record is from RNAcentral. Lineage: Eukaryota; Metazoa; Chordata; Mammalia; Rodentia; Muridae.
GGAUCUUGAGACUUGCCUUGACCAUGGAGGGAUCUGAAGGAAUUGUGGGAACCCCAGGAGAAAGAGGUCGAACAGGGAAAAAGGGUGAUAAAGGACAAACAGGACCCGUGGGAGAAGCUGGAAGCAGAGGUUCCCCUGGACGCGUUGGGGACAGUGGCCCUAAGGGUGCCAGAGGAACUCGAGGUGCUGUGGGUCCAUUAGGAUUGAUGGGACCUGAAGGUGAACCAGGAAUCCCAGGAUACAGAGGCCUUGAAGGUCAGCCAGGACCCUCUGGAUUGCCAGGACCUAAAGGAGAAAAGGGCUACCCAGGAGAAGACAGCACAGUCCUGGGACCUCCUGGGCCUCGAGGUGAACCAGUAUGUCUUUUCUAAAAUUAUUUUGGUUCCUAAGAUGAAACUCAGUCAGAAGCUUUGAUGCUGGCCAUGUCUUUUCUGAGUGUCUAUUUGGUUAGUCUUGUGACUAGGCUUUAUAGUAAAUCAACACUUAUCUCCAUACUUUCCACAUGAUGUAAAAAUCUUAGAUAUG